Molecule: long non-coding RNA, 2034 nt
Organism: Astatotilapia calliptera (eastern happy)
Lineage: Eukaryota; Metazoa; Chordata; Actinopteri; Cichliformes; Cichlidae
Source: Ensembl
UAUAUAUAGAUAUAUAAAUAAAUAAAUCAAAAUAAAAUAUGGUGCAUGCCUGAGCUUGAGAUGUGGAGGUGAGCCUUACAAGCAUAAGGUUUGUGGAAGCCCUUCACAGAAAGUAGGCAGAGAGACUUUGAGACAGGAGCUAAAAGAGGAUAAACUGAGGCUGUUUUAAACUGUGAAUCAUUCAAGGCUGCUCCAUUAGAGUGCCACAAUAAAAAAGAUGAAGCAGGAAAUGAGUAGAAAUUGCUCUCAAUUAAGGAAAUUCAUGCUUUAUAGUUCAUUGUUUUACCCAAUUUUACCACAGAGGAGAAUCCCCGCCAGGCGUCCUGGUGAAGAUGUUAUUCAGUGCCUUGUUCAGAUGUUUUUGGGUUUUGUUUUGUUUUUUGGGGUUUUUUUUGGAUAGUUAUCUUCGAUAGUUAUCUUUGUUCGUAAUGAAGUUAUUGCAGGAAAAUGGAACUAGGACUUGGACUUCAUGGGACUGAAAUUGCUCAAUGUACUGUCAUCACAAAGUGGAUUAACUUACGGAAGGAUGGACUAUUUAGAUUUUAUUAAAAGGGGUGAAUGUGUUUGCAAAUUAAUCGAUCUGAAUCUACAUUCAUAUAAAGACAUAUUGAUAUGGGUCAUUUUUCUCCCGCUGUUGAUCAGUGUCAAAAAAAAUUAUGUUACUUCCAUUUAAAAUUGUAAACAAACACUGAAAAAAGUCAAAUUAGGUGAUGCUUUAUUUGUAACCAAAGAUGUGGUCCCGCUUUGGAACAUGUUAUUGGUUUUAUCCUGAGAUCUAUUAAACCAGAUAGAAUUUGAAAUCCAUAUUGUUAAAUCUCGCAGAUUUCCCCUGUGGAAAGUGUGAACUUAUCCUUUGAGCAUGUUUCACUUCUAGCCUCAAACUCGCCUUCCACAAGCUCAAGAUCAAAGACUUGUGUGACGAGGUUUCAAAUUCCGACUGUAAAUUGUAUUUUAUUGGACUUUACUGCGUUAGUUUGGAACUGUAAUUAUAACCCAUUUUCAACCCUUAACAUUCCUCUCUUGGUUGUGUUUUCUGAGAUCGAUUUUGUUUGUUUUUUUUAAUUCAAUUUGAUUUUUUUAACAUGUAUAUUUUUUAAAUUCAUCUGAUAACAUCUAUUUCCUUUCCACCCGGGAGUUUGCUAAAUCCAUUGAAACCCCUCUGACAUUUGGAGAAACAUCAAAACUCCACAGCGAAACUUUUUUUCAUUUUUAAAUUUUCACCUCGUGUUGGUGUGUGUGUGAGUGUGAAUGCCAGCAUCUUUCUCUGCUCACAUUUGAAACACAAGUGCUGUAGCUUCACGCAUUUACUUAAAAAGGAAAAAAAAAAAUCUGUAACCUUUGUGAUCAUAGAAGUUUAUAUUUUCAUACAAAUAUUUGGUUUGUACAGAGGACCUGUAACAGAUUGUACUUUUGUGAAAACACCUCAGCAAAACUCCAACAAACGAAGCUGCCCUCCUGAGAUCCGCCAUGACGAUUUAGAUCAGAUAUCAGAUAUGUUGGUCUCGGAUCACUUCAGCUACGCUGGUCAUUAACUCUAAUCUGUAACUUACGAAAAUUCAAAAAAAAAAAAAAAAAGGUUUUGUCAGUCACAUUACGUGUUUAUAUGACAGUAUCAUAGUUAUUCCUAUGAUGCUAUUAUAUACCAUAUUAUAAUAUACUGUCAUUUAGGUAAAUUGUAUUGCUCUGCAUUGAAUAAAGUCUGGCUUUGGGUGCACUGCAUCCUUGUAUUACAUGAAGUAUGGAAAAUAAAAUAAGGAACCUGCUCUCCAUGUCGCCCCCUGCUGUCACACUCUCGCCGAACAACAGUGGUGGAAGAAGUACGCACAAUCCUGUGUGUUAAUAUAUGCAAGUGAUUUGCUCAUUUAAAUCUUUAUACACUGCCGUGUCAACCUAUCACAUCCUCUAAUUCAUAUUUAUACUCAUGAUGAAAUGACUGUAAAAUCCUAAUACAUCGAGUAACCCGAGCUAUGAAAUAAAUGUGGUGGACUGAAAUAUUUCCCUGUGAAAUGUAGUGGAGUAGACAUAUGAAGUGGC